GGGGAAGCUGCCGCUCCUCAGUUCAGUUCGGACGUCUCCCAAGAGACCAGACAUGGCAGGCAAGCAGACCGAGCAUCCCGCAGGGGCCAUCGCUGUCCGUCCCCUCCAUGUCCAGCAUGUGGAGGGCCACAGAGACACGGCCCUCACACUUCCAAUCACGUCUAUCCCUGCUCCCGAACCCCAACUCCCUUCUGUGCUUCAGGCCCGGGCGGGCAGCUGCCUCCCGGACGUGGAUGAACUCUACGCGUUCAAACUGAAAUCUUCAUCUUCCCCCGAUCCUGCCCUUCUUCUGUCCCAGGACCGUAAUGACCUCAUCCUCCACCCGAUCGACCAAAUUAGACACUGAGCACCCUGGAGUUUUCCUCUCCUUAAUCUCACAUGUUCAGCUGAUCAAUUAUCCUAUGAAUUUCAACCCAUAAAUAACUUUCUACUCCAGAGAUCGGCCCACAAGGCCCUCUAAUUGUAUGCUAUGAUAUUGAAGGCUGUGAAAGUGUGUGUUGUGUGUGUGUGAGUGUGUUUGUAGGUGCACAAAGACAUUCUUUUCUGGAGAGAGGACCCGUAGUAGGAGGGAGAGAGGAUAGUUUAGGGUCAUUUUUAGUAGAUUAAACAGAUUACCAAAGGAUCCAUAACCACGCUUCAGCGUCUGGAACAUGUAUCAGUUGAGUUAGGAUGUAAUUAUCAUUUAUCACCAAUUAACAUUUUCUCUGAUUUUGUGUAUGCUUUUCCCUUGGCUGGAAGUCCUUUUCCAGUGCUCAACCAUCUUUGCUGGCAAAGUCAUGCUCUUCCCUCUGGGAGGUCUUGUCAUGUCCUCUGUGCCCCUCCCCCAUGUCCUGUUGCAGAAGUAAUUGUUGCCUUCUGAGGACAGGAGCCUUAGAAACUGUCUGUCUGGAAAGGUUAUAAACGCAGAGAGAGGAGGAAAGUUGCAGCAUUUUACAGUCGCAAAAAAGACAAAAGUAAACCCACCGAUUAGGCUGGAAAAUAAAUGCCUAACCCGGGUAAAGUUGCCCAAAAAGAACAUUGAAUCAAAGAGGAAGUGGGUGCAACGAAAAGUGAGGUUUUAAGAAGAUAACUCUGUGCUCCUCUCCAGGGUCCUUGUAGGUUCUCAAAGAAGGUUCUGCCUUGAGGGAGUUUGGGCAGGUCUUUGACCUGCUGUCCCGAUUCCCUCUGGCGUGGGGGUGGGUGUGGUAGGGGCAGCUGGAACCUGACUCUGCUAUGGGGCGGUGGCUCUCCAGCCUCCUCUGGCUCAGGAGAAGGUCAAUUACUGCUGCGACUACUGCUGGCCAUUCUGCAUCCUCCCCUCUCUCCUUGUCUUCUGCACGUGACUCUGCUGUUCUUCCCCCAGAGGUGGAGUGAGCUUCCCCAUCCUGCACUGUGGGCUCGUCAUUGAUUCCCUCUGGCCAGUGGAUGUUGGCAGACGUAAGGUAAACGGUACUCAAGAUGUGUUUGAGUGACAAGGCUAGCCCUCCUGCUUCUCUGCCUUAGCUCAAGAAGAGCCUUCCCUGGGUGUCUCAAGAGACACCAGGACAGACAAUGCCCCAACCGGUAGCAGCA
Molecule: long non-coding RNA, 1551 nt
Organism: Equus asinus (donkey)
Lineage: Eukaryota; Metazoa; Chordata; Mammalia; Perissodactyla; Equidae
Source: Ensembl